This 295-nucleotide long non-coding RNA is filed under the name Gossypium raimondii (Peruvian cotton). Its description in RNAcentral is "long non-coding RNA (GRAI_LNC011044)". The record is from RNAcentral. Lineage: Eukaryota; Viridiplantae; Streptophyta; Magnoliopsida; Malvales; Malvaceae.
ACAACAUGUACAGAAUCAUGUUCGACACAAGAUUCGAGAGUGAGGAUGAUCCUUUGUUUGUUAGGCUCAAGGCUUUGAACGGGGAGAGGAGCCGGUUGGCUCAGAGUUUUGAAUACAAUUACGGGGAUUUUAUUCCAAUCUUAAGGCCCUUCCUCAGAGGAUACUUGAAGAUCUGUAAGGAGGUUAAGGACAGGAGGUUGCAGCUCUUCAAGGACCAUUUCGUCGAAGAGAGGAAGUAUGUAUCUUUCUUUUUCCUGUUUUUGGGCAAACACGUUGGUUUUAGAAUUGAGUAAAC